RNA transcript from Serinus canaria (Common canary), 2437 nucleotides. It is a transcript of the gene named potassium inwardly rectifying channel subfamily J member 15, with no coding region annotated. The record is from RefSeq and is a predicted model, not a curated record. NCBI's taxonomy places the organism in Eukaryota, Metazoa, Chordata, Aves, Passeriformes, Fringillidae. The transcript has 4 exons.
AUGCAAGAGGAACAUUUUUGCGUGUGUGCAGGCUGGCUCCCUGAUAAUGUGCUCCCUGGAAGCAGUGGCAGUGUGCUGCUUAGACCCCUGGCUGCUGGAAUUACCUUAAGGUCAAGGUAUUCAUGCUUGGUGGCUUGGACUGAAGCAGUGAGGAUGGAGCCCACCAAGAUCAACAUGUCCCGCGUGGCCCUGGUCAACGGCGGCAUCGACGGCGCCAUGCUCAGGGCGCACAAACCGCGCGUCAUGUCCAAGAGCGGCCACAGCAACGUCAGGAUCGACAAAGUCGAUGGCAUCUACCUGCUCUACCUGCAGGACCUGUGGACCACGGUCAUAGACAUGAAGUGGAGGUACAAACUCACCCUGUUUGCUGCUACUUUUGUCAUGACCUGGUUCCUCUUUGGGGUGAUCUACUACGCCAUCGCCUUCCUUCACGGCGACCUGGAGAUGAACAAGUUCUCCCCGAAGCGGGAGCCGUGUGUGAAGAACGUGGAUUCCCUGACUGGGGCAUUCCUCUUCUCCCUGGAGUCCCAGACAACCAUUGGCUAUGGAUUUCGUUUCAUCACCGAGGAGUGUCCCCAUGCCAUUUUCUUGCUUGUGGCCCAGCUGGUCAUCACCACCCUGAUUGAGAUCUUCAUCACAGGUACCUUCCUGGCCAAGAUCGCCAGGCCGAAGAAAAGGGCAGAGACCAUUAAAUUCAGCCACUGUGCUGUCAUCACCAAACACAACGGGGAGCUUUGCCUGGUGAUCAGAGUGGCAAACAUGAGGAAGAGCCUCCUGAUACAGUGCCAGCUCUCUGGGAAGCUUCUUCAGACCUACGAAACCAAAGAAGGGGAGAGGAUUCUGCUGAACCAAGCCAGCGUCAAAUUCAACGUUGACUCCUCUUCAGAAAGUCCAUUUCUCAUUCUGCCUUUAACCUUCUACCACAUUUUGGAUGAAAGCAGCCCUCUGAGAGACCUCACACCUCAAAACCUCAAGGAGAAGGACUUUGAGCUCGUGGUGCUCCUGAAUGCCACGGUGGAGUCCACCAGUGCUGUCUGCCAGAGCAGGACUUCCUACGUGCCCGAGGAGAUCCACUGGGGCUACGAGUUCGUGCCUGUGGUUUCCCUCUCCCCAAAUGGAAAGUACGUGGCGGAUUUCAGUCAGUUUGAGAAGAUCAGGAGAAGCACAGAUUCUACUUUUUACAGUAUGGACUCUGAAAAGCAAAAGCUGGAGGAGAAAUACAGGCAGGAGGACCAAAGAGAGAGGGAACUGAGAACAAUGUUGUUGCAGCAGAGUAAUGUUUGAUUGGAUGGACAAAGUAUUCUGAAUAAUCCUUUUUUCUGCAAACUGAAAAAGAACAUACUUUCUGUGCUGCAUGUCUGCUGUGAAACCAGAAGUGAAGCCCUUUCCAGGAUUAUUUCCUUUUCAGUCCUAUUUCAGCAAAUAGCUUUGGUGUACAGUAAAUCGACCCCUUUGGCUGAGUUGUUAAUCAAGUAUUUUGUAAUUAGGCAGGAUUCCUUUGUUCCUGAUCGUGACUUAGCAAAAUUGGGUUUGUGUUAAACCUCUGCCUGAUGCCACCACUGAAAGCAGACACGCCACUUUCCGUUUGGAAAGUGAAACUGGACUCACUGUGCUGAUUCCCUCAAAUAUUUAUUUGACGUGGUUUUACUGUGAACAUGCAGGGGCAGCACACAGCACUGCUAGAGGAAAAUGUGCUCCUUUGAAAUAUGUACCUUUAAAAUGUAUAUUCUCCUACCAGGGAUCACCUGCCUGGGGAUUCCUGGCACUGAAAAUAAGGACUCAGAUAACUCCUAAAAUAAUUGUCACAGCUGUGCAUGGACUAUAAAACAGCUUCACCAACAGCAAAUGAGCUGGUUCUUCUCCAGAAACAUCUGAUGGUGACCUGAUCCCUUUGUUCACCAAUCCCAGAGGUGUAACUUCCACUGCCCUUUUCCAGCCCAGAAGGGCAGCAGUGGAACAGGAUGAUCAGCAGCAGUGGGAAAAUGUCAGGACACGUGGAUCUGAUAGGAACCAGCAGCAAAUCACCACCUCUCACUGGCUGUGGCAGCCUCAGCUCUGGGGAUUUCCCUUGCCUGAGAAGGAACAGGAUGUGGAGCCAAAAAGCAAAACUUUGGUGAGCAUACCAAAGCUGCCUCACCCACAAGCAAGGACUGUUGAAUCUGAAUUUCAAAUUUCAGGGUCUAAAGAAAGCAGUGGAAUCCCACUGCCCUGUGUGAACAAGAGCAUGAAUGUGUGUACAAAGUAAAUCUUCCAUUCCAGACACUAUUUAAAAGUCAGACUUUUAAAAAAAUCCAGAAAUUUCCUUUUAAAAAAUUUAUUGAGGGAUAUGACUUACAUUUCUUUUAUUCAGGAGCUAUCAGUGAGCAGAACUCUUUUAGAGUAGCUUUAUUGUUUGGACUUUACAGCCCACAAAUGAAUGAGAACUUAUUUGACCUCA